Long non-coding RNA from Suricata suricatta (meerkat), 272 nucleotides. RefSeq lists it as uncharacterized. The transcript has 2 exons. The record is from RefSeq and is a predicted model, not a curated record. NCBI's taxonomy places the organism in Eukaryota, Metazoa, Chordata, Mammalia, Carnivora, Herpestidae.
GACUGCACAUCUCCCAGCUCCCCAGCCUGGGAAUCCUGGGGACAACAGGGGGUCAGCAGCAAGCAAGCCCACAGUUCACUGCAGACUGAGAAAACAUCAAAUCAGAACUAUAGAGAUUGACAUGGCUGACGAUUCAGCAAUUUUGAUGUCCUGGAAAAUUUAAUGAAGAGGAGAGGGAGACAAUAGUAUUCAUUAGGAUGACUUCAGCUUCUGUGAAAUUGAGGGUCUGCGGUGCAAGUUUCAUUUGAUUGCUUAAAUGGCGGUGCUCCGGA